UGUGUGUGUGUGUGUGUGUGUGUGUGAAUGAGUACCCCUGUGUGUAUGUGCUGGACUGUAGCAUUACAAUUUGUGGAAACACUUGAAGGAUGGAAAUCUGAAUUCCAUACCUUCAGGAAAGCAGGAAAUGGUGUUUCUUUCUGCUGAAGGGAAUCUGUUGGUAGAGCUCACCCUCUAGUGGCAGGCUCUGACUCAUUCAGCUCUACUGUCAUGCCUGAAAACCACCAGAAACCAUCACCUUCAUGGUCACACCCGUCAGCUACUUCUGUGACUAGAGUCUGCCACAAGAAGCAAAGAAAGAACAAUCAAAACUUCUUUCUACUUUGGUUUAAAUAAGGAAUGUGGAGAGGUGCCAGUUUGCCUCUUGGGACUCUUGCCCUUAAGCUAGGCACCGAACCCCCAUCUGCUCAGGGCACAUCUCCAGUAAUGCUUGUGGAUAGGCAGGCUAUUUAUGACAAUGUGUUGGUACAGGUGUUUGUGCAUGUGUGUAUUUAGGGCCUGUGUGUAAUGAGUAAAAUAACAAAAGUGUGAAAAAGUUAAUUUUCUGUGCUGUGUGUUCAGUGUU
Perca flavescens (yellow perch) is the source of this 565-nucleotide long non-coding RNA. RefSeq lists it as uncharacterized. Lineage: Eukaryota; Metazoa; Chordata; Actinopteri; Perciformes; Percidae. The transcript is spliced from 3 exons. The record is from RefSeq and is a predicted model, not a curated record.